UUAAAAAGCUCGUAGUUGGAUUUCUGUUGAGGAUGACCGGUCCGCUCUUUGAGCGCGUAUCUGGUUCAGCCUUGGCAUCCUCUUGGGGAACGCUACUGUGCUUGAUUGCAUGGGGCGGUAUUCAAGACUUUUACUUUGAGGAAAUUAGAGUGUUCACUGCAAGCGUUAGCAAUUGAAUACAUUAGCAUGGAAUAAUAAUAUAGGACCUUGGUACUAUUUUGUUGGUUUCUAGAACUAAGGUAAUGAUUAAUAGGGACAAUUGGGGGCAUUCGUAUUAACGCGUCAGAGGUGGAAUUCUUAGAUUGCGUUACGACGAACUACUGCGAAAGCAUUUGCCAAGGAUGUUUUCAUUGAUCAAGAACGAAAGUAUGGGGAUCGAAGACGCUUAGAUACCGUCGUAGUCUAUACCAUAAACUAUGCCAACUAGAGAUUGGAGGUCGUUCUCUUUAUGACUCCUUCAGCACCUUAUGAGAAAUCAAAGUCUUUGGGUUCCGGGGGGAGUAUGGUCGCAAGGCUGAAACUUAAAGGAAUUGACGGAAGGGCACCACCAGGAGUGGAGCCUGCGGCUUAAUUUGACUCAACACGGGAAAACUUACCAGGUCAGACAUAGUAAAGAUUGACAGAUUGAUAGCUCUUUCU
This 639-nucleotide ribosomal RNA is filed under the name uncultured marine eukaryote. RNAcentral describes it as "SSU rRNA". It matches the Rfam family "Eukaryotic small subunit ribosomal RNA", at positions 619 to 1262 of the family's 1831-position model. The record is from RNAcentral.